This 442-nucleotide ribosomal RNA is filed under the name uncultured bacterium. Its description in RNAcentral is "partial 16S ribosomal RNA". It matches the Rfam family "Bacterial small subunit ribosomal RNA", at positions 338 to 795 of the family's 1533-position model. The record is from RNAcentral.
CCUACGGGAGGCAGCAGUGGGGCAUAUUGGGCAAUGGGCGCAAGCCUGACCCAGCAACGCCGCGUGAAGGAAGAAGGCUUUCGGGUUGUAAACUUCUUUUGUCAGGGAAGAGUAGAAGACGGUACCUCUUGAUUAAGCCACGGCUAACUACGUGCCAGCAGCCGCGGUAAUACGUAGGUGGCAAGCGUUGUCCGGAUUUACUGGGUGUAAAGGGCGUGUAGCCGGGCUGACAAGUCAGAUGUGAAAUCCCGUGGCUCAACCACGAAACUGCAUUUGAAACUGUCGGUCUUGAGUAUCGGAGAGGCAGGCGGAAUUCCUGGUGUAGCGGUGAAAUGCGUAGAUAUUAGGAGGAACACCAAUGGCGAAGGCGGCCUGCUGGACGACAACUGACGGUGAGGCGCGAAAGCGUGGGGAGCAAACAGGAUUAGAUACCCGAGUAGUC